This 587-nucleotide ribosomal RNA is filed under the name Trichoderma harzianum. RNAcentral's name for it is "eukaryotic LSU rRNA". The stretch from base 248 to 401 matches the Rfam family "5.8S ribosomal RNA". The record is from RNAcentral. Lineage: Eukaryota; Fungi; Ascomycota; Sordariomycetes; Hypocreales; Hypocreaceae.
CCCCGAACAAGGUCUCCGUUGGUGAACCAGCCGGAGGGGAUCAUUACCGAGUUUACAACUCCCAAACCCAAUGUGAACGUUACCAAACUGUUGCCUCGGCGGGAUCUCUGCCCCGGGUGCGUCGCAGCCCCGGACCAAGGCGCCCGCCGGAGGACCAACCAAAACUCUUAUUGUAUACCCCCUCGCGGGUUUUUUUAUAAUCUGAGCCUUCUCGGCGCCUCUCGUAGGCGUUUCGAAAAUGAAUCAAAACUUUCAACAACGGAUCUCUUGGUUCUGGCAUCGAUGAAGAACGCAGCGAAAUGCGAUAAGUAAUGUGAAUUGCAGAAUUCAGUGAAUCAUCGAAUCUUUGAACGCACAUUGCGCCCGCCAGUAUUCUGGCGGGCAUGCCUGUCCGAGCGUCAUUUCAACCCUCGAACCCCUCCGGGGGGUCGGCGUUGGGGAUCGGCCCUGCCUUGGCGGUGGCCGUCUCCGAAAUACAGUGGCGGUCUCGCCGCAGCCUCUCCUGCGCAGUAGUUUGCACACUCGCAUCGGGAGCGCGGCGCGUCCACAGCCGUUAAACACCCAACUUCUGAAAUGUGACCUCGGAU